RNAcentral lists this ribosomal RNA (439 nucleotides) under uncultured bacterium. RNAcentral describes it as "partial 16S ribosomal RNA". It matches the Rfam family "Bacterial small subunit ribosomal RNA", at positions 338 to 795 of the family's 1533-position model. The record is from RNAcentral.
CCUACGGGGGGCAGCAGUGGGGGAUAUUGCACAAUGGGGGGAACCCUGAUGCAGUGACGCCGCGUGGGUGAAGAAGCGCCUCGGCGCGUAAAGCCCUGUCAGCAGGGAAGAAAAUGACGGUACCUGAAGAAGAAGCCCCGGCUAACUACGUGCCAGCAGCCGCGGUAAUACGUAGGGGGCAAGCGUUAUCCGGAUUUAUUGGGUUUAAAGGGUGCGUAGGCGGAUUUUUAAGUCAGCGGUAAAAUGUCCGGGCUCAACCCGGGCCGGCCGUUGAAACUGGGGAUCUUGAGUGGGCGAGAAGUAUGCGGAAUGCGUGGUGUAGCGGUGAAAUGCGUAGAUAUUAGGAGGAACACCAGUGGCGAAGGCGGCCUACUGGACGGUGACUGACGCUGAGGCUCGAAAGCGUGGGGAGCAAACAGGAUUAGAUACCCGAGUAGUC